This is a long non-coding RNA of Entelurus aequoreus (snake pipefish), 911 nucleotides long. RefSeq lists it as uncharacterized. The transcript is spliced from 4 exons. Lineage: Eukaryota; Metazoa; Chordata; Actinopteri; Syngnathiformes; Syngnathidae. The record is from RefSeq and is a predicted model, not a curated record.
AUCAAAUCACACGUUGUUGACAGUAGCCUCUCUAGGUAGCCUGAUGUUAACGAGACUGUGAUUGGACACUCCUAAGUAAGUAUCCAAUCACAAGUUUCAAUUUAGCAGGAAGCGGGAAGUGUUGCGCCGUAUCCAGACCGAGAAGGAGAACAAAACGUUGUUUAAGUGGCAGAUAUAUAUAUUGCCAGGCCAUUUUCAAGAGGAUAUUUAAAGAGAAGAGAAACUACAUUUUGUGAGACCAUGUCGGCCAACCCCAGAAGCUAGCUAAGCUGUUCUGGCGAUGAAAUGGGGACGGCGUCGAAUAGGCGAUACUAAUUGGAAAACGUUGGCGUCUCGCUGAUUACCAGGAAAACUACAGCUGAUACAUCAACCUAGAUUGGCGAUAUUCAACUAAACUGUUUCAGGGGCCAAAGUUCCAGAAAGCUAAGGACGGAGGAUCACUGUCACUGGAAUCAUUGACAGCUGGCAGAUCAUCUUCACAGAGAUGCGAGGAGGAAGCAAAUGGUAACCGGAUCAUUGACACCCACGGCCAGACGACUUGGGGAACUUAUUCCCGUGUUAGUUACCAUGUGAUCCUGAAUAUUUUACAACCCCUACUUCUCAAUGCCGGACAAAUACCAAUAUUUUUUUCCAGCCUGCAGAGGUAAAAACUAACAAUGGGCGUGUGUGGAGCUGACACCAUAAGGAACAUAGUACACCUGAGUGAUGGUUCUUACCUGUUUCUGCGGAUGAAGCUUUUGCUGGAAAAGACUCAGCGGAUGAGAGCGGCGGUGCUAAAGUCACACCUCGGCCCAGUAAAAGGCAGUCUGGCUAUGAGAGCCAAAACAUCAGGUGUCCAGUGGAGGCUCCGACGUGCCAAAGUUCUCACACCAACCCAACGUAAAGGAUCUUAAUGAGACCUCAGCCCUGCU